CCUACGGGGGGCAGCAGUGGGGAAUAUUGGACAAUGGGGGGAACCCUGAUCCAGCCAUGCCGCGUGUGUGAAGGAGGCCCUCGGGUUGUAAAGCACUUUCAGUGAGGAAGAACGCCUGGUGGUUAAUACCCAUCAGGAAAGACAUCACUCACAGAAGAAGCACCGGCUAACUCCGUGCCAGCAGCCGCGGUAAUACGGAGGGUGCGAGCGUUAAUCGGAAUUACUGGGCGUAAAGCGCGCGUAGGUGGCUUGAUAAGCCGGUUGUGAAAGCCCCGGGCUCAACCUGGGAACGGCAUCCGGAACUGUCAAGCUAGAGUGCAGGAGAGGAAGGUAGAAUUCCCGGUGUAGCGGUGAAAUGCGUAGAGAUCGGGAGGAAUACCAGUGGCGAAGGCGGCCUUCUGGACUGACACUGACACUGAGGUGCGAAAGCGUGGGUAGCAAACAGGAUUAGAUACCCGAGUAGUC
This 465-nucleotide ribosomal RNA is filed under the name Vreelandella stevensii. RNAcentral describes it as "partial 16S ribosomal RNA". It matches the Rfam family "Bacterial small subunit ribosomal RNA", at positions 338 to 795 of the family's 1533-position model. The record is from RNAcentral. Lineage: Bacteria; Pseudomonadati; Pseudomonadota; Gammaproteobacteria; Oceanospirillales; Halomonadaceae.